This 220-nucleotide long non-coding RNA is filed under the name Malus domestica (apple). RNAcentral's name for it is "long non-coding RNA (MDOM_LNC002692)". Lineage: Eukaryota; Viridiplantae; Streptophyta; Magnoliopsida; Rosales; Rosaceae. The record is from RNAcentral.
UUAUGUUUUUCAUAGAACUUAAUGAUUCUUGCGUGUAUCUCUAUUAUGCAAUUCAUGUAGGGAACUUGAAGGGAAUGUUUUGGGUUGUCGUAUGCAAUCAUCCAACCCAAUAACUUGUGGAAAAACUGAGGGUUAAUUAGUGCAAUUCCCAGUUAAUUUGGGGCGUUGAGAUUUACAAUUUAUUGAAAGAACAACUGAAAAUCAAUUUAGGUUGCAUAUG